AACCUAUCAGACAAAGGCAAAAAAACAAACAUCGGAUCUGUUUUGGGCCUUUAGCUGUUUAAUAAGUGUUAAUCUAAAUGCUGUUUAAAUAGAACCGCCGAUACGUCACAAAAUUAAUUUGACCACAGUCAACGUACAACAAAAUGCAACACUGCCUGCACUCUGCAAAAUACAACUCUGUAAAAAGUAAUCGGUACAUGGAAAAACUUCUCUCGAAAUUGAUGUAUCUGGUACUUUGAAAUUUUUCAUUUCACACUUGGAUUGUCUUUGGAAUUUCGUCUUUGUGCAUUAUUCGCAGUAAAAUAUAUUUUACAUAAAGGACUUCAAGACAUCUAUUUAGAUAAAUAUUAAAAUAAUAACAAAGAUUGUCGAAAAUUCCUCUUAAUCCAUUAUUGAAAUAAAUUAGUUUAUUUGUAAAUCUACGAAAUAUCCGAGAA
Molecule: long non-coding RNA, 437 nt
Organism: Musca domestica (house fly)
Lineage: Eukaryota; Metazoa; Arthropoda; Insecta; Diptera; Muscidae
Exons: 2
Source: RefSeq, a predicted model, not a curated record